UAUGGUAGCUUCUAGAAUAGGGAAUAUUUUGCCUUGCUGCUAGUGAUGUAUUCUGCUUUUGUGUAAUUCCGUUGGUGUUGUGGGGACCAUGUCCCCUAUCCUUAUAGCUAUAAAUAUACAUCAUGUAAUAAGCGCGCUUAUCAUCAGGAAAAUAUCAAAGAAAGCUCUUCCCUUAGUUUUCUCUCCUCUCUCCCUCACUCUCUCGGAGGUGCUGGACCUCGAAUCCAGUAGGCUUACGAGCCUAAUAGAUAAGGUGUUUCUGUUCUCUUUUCUGUUCAUUAGUGUUGACUCUAAUUCAACCAAUGCAGCGUAGCACCGUCAAGGCAAGGAGGGUAUAUAUUUGUCACAACAAAAAAGAUUACCAACUAUUCAAAGAGAUAAUGAAAGUUUUGUUUUUGAUAAAUCUCAGAAGCUGUUGAAAGCAAACUUUAAUUUAAUUUAAUACUAGUAACGUUUAGUCUUAUGUUACAUUUUUUUUUACAAUAGUCUUAUGUUACAUGACACUGACAUACAUACUCCUAUAUAGUAUUAUAAUGAUAAUGAUGUCAUUUGUAGAUGCAAAAUAUUGUAGUAAUAGCUGGCUUAAACGUACAAUUUAAAUAAAUACAUUAUUUAAAA
Glycine soja is the source of this 618-nucleotide long non-coding RNA. RefSeq lists it as uncharacterized. Lineage: Eukaryota; Viridiplantae; Streptophyta; Magnoliopsida; Fabales; Fabaceae. The record is from RefSeq and is a predicted model, not a curated record. The transcript has 2 exons.